GAAGUAAAAAGUCGUAACAAGGUUUCCNGUAGGUGACCUGCGGAAGGAU
This 49-nucleotide ribosomal RNA is filed under the name Biatoropsis usnearum. Its description in RNAcentral is "partial 18S ribosomal RNA". Lineage: Eukaryota; Fungi; Basidiomycota; Tremellomycetes; Tremellales; Tremellaceae. The record is from RNAcentral.